RNAcentral lists this ribosomal RNA (293 nucleotides) under uncultured bacterium. Its description in RNAcentral is "partial 16S ribosomal RNA". It matches the Rfam family "Bacterial small subunit ribosomal RNA", at positions 505 to 796 of the family's 1533-position model. The record is from RNAcentral.
GUGCCAGCCGCCGCGGUAAGACGGAGGGUGCAAACGUUGUUCGGAAUUACUGGGCGUAAAGCGCGUGUAGGCGGUCCGAAAAGUCGGGUGUGAAAUCCCUCGGCUCAACCGAGUGAAUGGCAUUCGAUACUGCCGGACUGGAGUUCGGGAGAGGGACGUGGAAUUCCCGGUGUAGAGGUGAAAUUCGUAGAUAUCGGGAGGAACACCGGUGGCGAAGGCGGCGUCCUGGACCGAUACUGACGCUGAGACGCGAAAGCGUGGGGAGCAAACAGGAUUAGAUACCCGCGUAGUCC